RNAcentral lists this ribosomal RNA (468 nucleotides) under uncultured bacterium. RNAcentral describes it as "partial 16S ribosomal RNA". It matches the Rfam family "Bacterial small subunit ribosomal RNA", at positions 28 to 507 of the family's 1533-position model. The record is from RNAcentral.
GACGAACGCUGGCGGCGUGCUUAACACAUGCAAGUCGAACGGAAAGGCCCUGCUUUUGUGGGGUGCUCGAGUGGCGAACGGGUGAGUAACACGUGAGUAACCUGCCCUUGACUUUGGGAUAACUUCAGGAAACUGGGGCUAAUACCGGAUAGGAGCUCCUGCUGCAUGGUGGGGGUUGGAAAGUUUCGGCGGUGGGGGAUGGACUCGCGGCUUAUCAGCUUGUUGGUGGGGUAGUGGCUUACCAAGGCUUUGACGGGUAGCCGGCCUGAGAGGGUGACCGGCCACAGUGGGACUGAGAUACGGCCCAGACUCCUACGGGAGGCAGCAGUGGGGAAUAUUGCACAAUGGGCGGAAGCCUGAUGCAGCAACGCCGCGUGCGGGAUGACGGCCUUCGGGUUGUAAACCGCUUUCGCCUGUGACGAAGCGUGAGUGACGGUAAUGGGUAAAGAAGCACCGGCUAACUACGUG